This is a non-coding RNA of Ictidomys tridecemlineatus (thirteen-lined ground squirrel), 72 nucleotides long. The record is from Rfam. Lineage: Eukaryota; Metazoa; Chordata; Mammalia; Rodentia; Sciuridae.
GGAAAUGUAGUUCAGUGGUAAAACACUUGCCUAGAAUGCAUGAAACUAUGGGCUCAAUCCCCAGCAUUUUCA